GACGUAGGUGGCGAACGUUAUCCGGAAUUAUUGGGCGUAAAGGGUGCGAAGAUGGCCUGAUAAGUUAGCAGUGGGAAAUCGAGGCUCAACCUCGUGGAAGCUGGUAAUACUGUCAGGCUCGAGUGCAGGAGAGGUUAACGGAACUCCAUGUGGAGCGGUAAAAUGUGUAGAUAUAUGGAAGAACACCAAUAACGGCGAAGGCAGUUAACUAUUCUGUUACUGACAUUGAGGCACGAAAGCGUGGGGAGCAAAACGG
This 256-nucleotide ribosomal RNA is filed under the name uncultured bacterium. RNAcentral describes it as "partial 16S ribosomal RNA". It matches the Rfam family "Bacterial small subunit ribosomal RNA", at positions 524 to 776 of the family's 1533-position model. The record is from RNAcentral.